RNAcentral lists this long non-coding RNA (312 nucleotides) under Capsicum annuum. RNAcentral's name for it is "long non-coding RNA (CANN_LNC022057)". Lineage: Eukaryota; Viridiplantae; Streptophyta; Magnoliopsida; Solanales; Solanaceae. The record is from RNAcentral.
UCACAUAUCUUUUCUUGAAUGUGAAAGCGGAAAAUUCAAUUCUCAGAGCUCAAUUGGUUGAGUUAAGCCACAGGCUGCAGUCCCUUAAUGAGAUGAUAAGUUGCCCACACUCUCCAUACCUCGAAAAAUGUACUACUUUUGAAGGACCUGAAAAGUACCCUGCAACCGUUAUACAGGGUCCGAGCAACAUAGCUUUUAAUUAUCAUCAUGACCUAGAUGAUUUCUUGAACCUUUGGAAUUUGCUCAAUGUGAAUCAACCUAUUAUGGCUUCUUCCGAUUCCUUCAUCUACUGAUCGUGAGUGAUAUGAAUUA